AUACUUACUCGCACAGGCUUUACAGUGAUCCUCAAGUAAGGUUGUGGGCCCGGGCGAGACCUUCCAUUGCACAUCGGUUUGUUAUUGACUCUCGCGAUCGUCCUAAAUGUGAAUGACUCAAGCAACAUGGGUGUAGACUGCGUUCGCGCCUCCUAAAC
Small nuclear RNA from Haliotis rubra (blacklip abalone), 158 nucleotides. RefSeq annotates it as U1 spliceosomal RNA. The record is from RefSeq and is a predicted model, not a curated record. Lineage: Eukaryota; Metazoa; Mollusca; Gastropoda; Lepetellida; Haliotidae. The transcript has a single exon.